Molecule: transfer RNA, 67 nt
Filed under: Inia geoffrensis (Amazon river dolphin)
Lineage: Eukaryota; Metazoa; Chordata; Mammalia; Artiodactyla; Iniidae
Description: transfer RNA-Pro
Source: RNAcentral
CAAGGAAUAGUUUAUAGAGAAUCCCAGCUUUGGGUGUUGGUGGUGAGGUUUGGUGCUUCUUCCUUGA